AACGAACGCUGGCGGCAUGCCUAACACAUGCAAGUCGAACGAGACCUUCGGGUCUAGUGGCGCACGGGUGCGUAACGCGUGGGAACCUGCCCUUAGGUUCGGAAUAACUCCCCGAAAGGGGUGCUAAUACCGGAUAAUGUCUUCGGACCAAAGAUUUAUCGCCUUUGGAUGGGCCCGCGUUGGAUUAGCUAGUUGGUAGGGUAAAAGCCUACCAAGGCAACGAUCCGUAGCUGGUCUGAGAGGAUGAUCAGCCACACUGGGACUGAGACACGGCCCAGACUCCUACGGGAGGAAGAAGUAGGGAAUUUUCAGAAAGGGGCGAAAGCAUGACGGAGCAACGCCGCGUGAGUGAUGAAGGUCUUCGGCUCGUAAAACUCUGUUAUUAGGGAAGAAGAAAUGUGUAAGUAACUAUGCACGUCUUGAGGGUACCUAAUCAGAAAGACACGGAUAAAUACGUG
This 458-nucleotide ribosomal RNA is filed under the name uncultured bacterium. Its description in RNAcentral is "partial 16S ribosomal RNA". It matches the Rfam family "Bacterial small subunit ribosomal RNA", at positions 29 to 507 of the family's 1533-position model. The record is from RNAcentral.